AGUGAACGCUGGCGGCAGGCCUAACACAUGCAAGUCGAACGGCAGCACAGAGGAGCUUGCUCCUUGGGUGGCGAGUGGCGGACGGGUGAGGAAUGCGUCGGAAUCUGCCUUUUUGUGGGGGAUAACGUAGGGAAACUUACGCUAAUACCGCAUACGACCUACGGGUGAAAGUGGGGGACCGCAAGGCCUCACGCAGAAAGAUGAGCCGACGCCGGAUUAGCUAGUUGGCGGGGUAAAGGCCCACCAAGGCGACGAUCCGUAGCUGGUCUGCGAGGAUGAUCAGCCACACUGGGACUGAGACACGGCCCAGACUCCUACGGGAGGCAGCAGUGGGGAAUAUUGGACAAUGGGCGCAAGCCUGAUCCAGCCAUGCCGCGUGUGGGAAGAAGGCCUUCGGGUUGUAAAGCACUUUUGUCCGGAAAGAAAUCCUUUCGAUUAAUACUCGGGAGGGAUGACGGUACCGGAAGAAUAAGCACCGGCUAACUUCGUGCCAGCAGCCGCCGUAA
RNAcentral lists this ribosomal RNA (506 nucleotides) under uncultured bacterium. Its description in RNAcentral is "partial 16S ribosomal RNA". It matches the Rfam family "Bacterial small subunit ribosomal RNA", at positions 29 to 523 of the family's 1533-position model. The record is from RNAcentral.